RNAcentral lists this ribosomal RNA (538 nucleotides) under Mannophryne herminae (Hermina's poison frog). RNAcentral describes it as "partial 16S ribosomal RNA". It matches the Rfam family "Bacterial large subunit ribosomal RNA", at positions 1846 to 2594 of the family's 2925-position model. The record is from RNAcentral. Lineage: Eukaryota; Metazoa; Chordata; Amphibia; Anura; Aromobatidae.
UAGGAGGUCCAGCCUGCCCAGUGACAAUGUUCAACGGCCGCGGUAUCCUAACCGUGCGAAGGUAGCGUAAUCACUUGUCCUUUAAAUGAGGACUAGUAUGAACGGUUUCACGAAGGUUGCACUGUCUCCUUUUUCUAAUCAGUUAAACUAAUCUCCCCGUGAAGAAGCGGGGAUUUACCUAUAAGACGAGAAGACCCUAUGGAGCUUUAAACAAUUGAUAACAUUUGCAUCUAAAUUUUUUUCUUUAUUUAACCCAGCACAUUGUUUCUAGUUUUAGGUUGGGGUGACCAUGGAGAAAAACUCAUCCUCCAUGAUGAACGAAAUUUUAUUUCUUAGCAAAAAGCUACAUCUUAAUGCAUUAAUAAAUUAACCUUAAUUGACCCAAUAAUUUGAUCAACGAACCAAGUUACCCUAGGGAUAACAGCGCAAUCCACUUCAAGAGCUCUUAUCGACAAGUGGGUUUACGACCUCGAUGUUGGAUCAGGGUAUCCAAGUGGUGCAGUCGCUACUAAAGGUUCGUUUGUUCAACGAUUAAAAC